AAGGAAUAUUGGACAAUGGUCGCAAGACUGAUCCAGCCAUGCCGCGUGCAGGAAGACGGCCCUAUGGGUUGUAAACUGCUUUUGUACCAGAGAAAACCUAUCUACGUGUAGAUAGCUGAUAGUAUGGUAAGAAUAAGCAUCGGCUAACUUCGUGCCAGCAGCCGCGGUAAGACGAAGGAUGCAAGCGUUAUCCGGAUUCAUUGGGUUUAAAGGGUGCGUAGGCGGGCUUGUAAGUCAGUGGUGAAAUCUCUCAGCUUAACUGAGAAACUGCCAUUGAUACUGCAGGCCUAGAGCAUAGAUGACGUUGGCGGAAUAUGACAUGUAGUGGUGAAAUACUUAGAUAUGUCAUAGAACACCGAUUGCGAAGGCAGCUAACGAAACUAUAACUGACGCUGAGGCACGAAAGUGCGGGGAUCAAACA
RNAcentral lists this ribosomal RNA (421 nucleotides) under uncultured bacterium. Its description in RNAcentral is "bacterial SSU rRNA". It matches the Rfam family "Bacterial small subunit ribosomal RNA", at positions 356 to 774 of the family's 1533-position model. The record is from RNAcentral.